AUUGAACGCUGGCGGCAGGCCUAACACAUGCAAGUCGAGCGGAUGAAGGGAGCUUGCUCCUGGAUUCAGCGGCGGACGGGUGAGUAAUGCCUAGGAAUCUGCCUGGUAGUGGGGGAUAACGUCCGGAAACGGGCGCUAAUACCGCAUACGUCCUGAGGGAGAAAGUGGGGGAUCUUCGGACCUCACGCUAUCAGAUGAGCCUAGGUCGGAUUAGCUAGUUGGUGGGGUAAAGGCCUACCAAGGCGACGAUCCGUAACUGGUCUGAGAGGAUGAUCCGUCACACUGGAACUGAGACACGGUCCAGACUCCUACGGGAGGCAGCAGUGGGGAAUAUUGGACAAUGGGCGAAAGCCUGAUCCAGCCAUGCCGCGUGUGUGAAGAAGGUCUCGGAUUGUAAAGCACUUUAAGUUGGGAGGAAGGGCAGUAAGUUAAUACCUUGCUGUUUUGACGUUACCAACAGAAUAAGCACCGGCUAACUUCGUG
This 483-nucleotide ribosomal RNA is filed under the name uncultured bacterium. Its description in RNAcentral is "partial 16S ribosomal RNA". It matches the Rfam family "Bacterial small subunit ribosomal RNA", at positions 30 to 507 of the family's 1533-position model. The record is from RNAcentral.